CACCAGCACAUGUUGUUUUGAAUGCUGAUUUUUUUUCACAAAUUUACACAUCAAGACAGACUUCCUUGGACAACCAGAUUUAGAAAGACAAUGCUGGAACACCAGUGACAAACUCCAACGACCAUGUGACGUUGUCGAAGAAGAACGAUACAAAACCAACACGCUGAAACCAAGAACAAUAAACUAAAAAGCAUAUCCUUCUACAUACUGUUUGGUUGUUGUUCUCUGUUGCCUUGCUGUUGCUGGGAUUGUUUGCAAUGCAACCUCUGUCAUUAAUUUACAGUGGGUCUGUGAAUGACGCGACUCAGCGUGGCCUGGAUGAGUAUGUUCAAGAAGCUGUGCGGACGCGUUUGUGCUCGAGACGGAGACGGAAAGUCAAGUAUACCCACUCCUUUAGUAGAUCAACUUUGGCCCAGCAAAGAAAAGAAUGCUUCAUGUACCGUGUCUAAAAAUCAACCUAAUCCCAUGGAAACUCUUAACUAUUUUACAAUAUGGCUAAUCUGUGUAGAUUUCUGCAGUGUUGAUUGUACAAAAAAACUUAAGAUUAUUAGAAAUAAUGAAUGAUGAAGCCCCUCCCCUAACCCUAAAGUAUUUGGUAAGAAAGCAAAUCAUACUAAAACGUAUGAAAACGAAUUCUCACCAUCUCGUAAAAUAGUUAUGAAUUCCUGCGAGAUGCUCUUGGAAAAAAUAGGGCAAAGUGUACUUGAAUAGUAAUUUGAAUAUUGCACUUCAGUGAGUUGUGUUUUUUGACAGAAAUAUCUGUCAAAUUAAUGGAUAAUGUACAAUACAUUACAUUAUGUACAAUAUAAGUAAAUUUUCAUUUUUGAGAGUGCAUAGUCUGAGGUGUUGCAGGGUGUUUUAUCUCUUCAGUCUCCUCGGAUGUCCUCAGACGUGCUUCCCGUACGCAAAAUGGCCCAAGGGUGAUUAUAUCCAACGCAAGAUCAUGUUCACAGCAUGUUCCUAACAUACGGAGCACUCUUGACCCCUUUGAUCUUGCGGACAAAUGACCUAUAACUGAGACCCUCGUGUGGCCUCUCUACAUGGAUUACCGUUAGGAAUCACUUGAACACAGACUUGUGUGCUAAUCCAACAAAUUCCCAGUGGGACACAUUUCUGCUUGCUUUUUUCUCUUUUUUCCAGAGGUUAAAAUGAACAUUCAGGGGCAUCAUUCUGUUUUGGUCAAACUGAAAGCAGAUGCACCACACAUCUAAUGUUUUGCUGUCUUAAUGAAGCACAACUGCAUGGAGACUGCAUAACAGUAAAGCAGUCAUGCAGAUUGACCCAGAGCUCCAGAUGGGUCAGAGAGAGAGAGAAAGAGCUGAAAGUGAUGGAAAAGGGAAUAAAAGACGGUUGAGAGAGGAACCGACAGAACAGCUGGGUGAAGGACAUGUGCGUGCAGGCGGAGAAGGCAAAGGAGGAAAUGUGCAGACAUCCCCAAACAAAGAAAAGAAUAUUUGUGAAUUUCACCUUUGGAUGAAUUGUUCUACACCUUCAGACUUCAGGCAGAUCUCAAAGUCAAAGGUCAAUGUCAGGAUCAUCUGAUAACAGAGGAUAUGACUCGGCGUAGUACGACGGUGGGAUUUGCCCACCCCAUCAGACGAUUUGUCCACCCUGACUGCACCCAGAGCCGCUGAGAGAGAGGAUCGGUGAACCGCCGUUGGUGUGAAAAAACUGCUCCGUUGCAGUGAACGGAGUUGGCGCGACUCUCUCUCAGCGACUCUGCGUCCACCCUGCCCCCACACCAUAUGACAGCCAAUCACAAAAUUAAUGCGAUAUUCAAGUCAGCUGCAAAAAAAUUUUUUGGCAAGACAGUCUAUGGCUCUUUCAAAAACCAUGUGGCCUGCCUGGAGCCUUUACCAACAUUUGAUCGUGAAAAAACAUCUUAAUGCAUGCAGUGCUAUGCUCAAGCAUCACGACACUAAUCAACGGCAAACAACGUUUCUAUGGUAACCUCUGGCCCCCGCAGCCCAGAUGAAGCUACCCAGAGCGCGAGGAGUUUAGAAAAGUGAGCGUCAUGCUUUUAUUGAAAGUUACGGCUCUCUGUGGCGUAUGAUGCAGAACUCGUUGCCUCAAUAAAUUUAAAGUUUUAAAAACAAACUGUUAGGUUUCAUAUCCCCAAACAAAAAAAUAUAGCUCAUUUUAUGCAAGGCCAUAUAGAGGAGGGGGCUGACAUUCUUUGUCAUGUUAUAAAGGUUAUAAACAGACCCUACACAUUUUUGUUUCAUAUAGUUUCUAUACCUUUUUUGGUUAUAACAGGUGUCUUAUUGUGCACUAUAUAAAUACCUGUAUUCCCUAGAAUAAAUUAUCUUAAAACUUGA
This is a long non-coding RNA of Triplophysa dalaica, 2318 nucleotides long. RefSeq lists it as uncharacterized. Lineage: Eukaryota; Metazoa; Chordata; Actinopteri; Cypriniformes; Nemacheilidae. The record is from RefSeq and is a predicted model, not a curated record. The transcript has 2 exons.